AUUCAAGAAAGGGCUUAACCGCCGAUUCCCAUUCGAGAAGGAGAAGCAGAAGAGGAGGCCCAAUGGUUCGCUCCCCUCGGUUUGUUCGCCGCUAGACCUUCUUGAUCUGAACCAAUCUUCGUACGGUGCUACUGUAGGGUUUCGAUCUCUCUGUUUCCAAGGCGCGAGAACGCGGGAGAUGGAUCUUGGGUCGAAGAAGAGGAUUUUAGAAGAGGGAGAGCAGACGGUACAGUGGAAGGGGAAAGAAGCUUCAACCCAAGAGCAUGCAGCUCCGCACUUUGCACUUGCCGUCAUGCUCGGCAGUCGCUGGGGCAUCGACCACGUCGUCAAAAUAGCUGAUGAAAUGACAGCAAGAAAAGGUCAGGAGUUAAACCUGCUUUAGUCUACCUU
This is a long non-coding RNA of Musa acuminata AAA Group (dessert banana), 390 nucleotides long. RefSeq lists it as uncharacterized. Lineage: Eukaryota; Viridiplantae; Streptophyta; Magnoliopsida; Zingiberales; Musaceae. The transcript is spliced from 3 exons. The record is from RefSeq and is a predicted model, not a curated record.